GCGUUUAUUUUGGCAGCACAUAUGCUAAAAUGUAACAAUGCAGAGAAGAUUAGCAUGGCCCUUGUGCAAAGAUGACACACAAAUUUGUGUCAUAUUUAAGAUAAUA
Molecule: small nuclear RNA, 106 nt
Organism: Dipodomys spectabilis (banner-tailed kangaroo rat)
Lineage: Eukaryota; Metazoa; Chordata; Mammalia; Rodentia; Heteromyidae
Source: RefSeq, a predicted model, not a curated record